Molecule: unclassified non-coding RNA, 385 nt
Filed under: Hevea brasiliensis (rubber tree)
Lineage: Eukaryota; Viridiplantae; Streptophyta; Magnoliopsida; Malpighiales; Euphorbiaceae
Source: RNAcentral
GUUACACAAUAAAGUCAGAUAUUGCACGUUGACACAUGGUCAAAUUUGUGUGAUGGAAGAUAUUGAUGACCUUAGCUGAUCUUCUUUUAAAAAUAAAAAAUACACAAAAGCUAUAUGUAGAUGUGAUCAUGUGAGCUCCACAAAAGGGAAAUGCCACCACAGUUCUUUUAGUCAGCUGUGGAUCACGCUUUCAUUUUUUAUUUUUGCUAUUUUAUCUAAUUUUGUUAAUUAGUGUUGUCGGUGACUGCUAAUUGUGUAAUUUUGCAUAUAUGAUUUGCCAUUAUAUAUAUUGAAUUGAGGGCUGGUUGUUAUAAAUUGCUUUCUUCAAAAGAAGAAUGAUGAUAAGGAUGUAUAGAGAUAUGCUCAUGAAAAGGCACCACCAAGG